Molecule: long non-coding RNA, 233 nt
Filed under: Elaeis guineensis (African oil palm)
Lineage: Eukaryota; Viridiplantae; Streptophyta; Magnoliopsida; Arecales; Arecaceae
Description: long non-coding RNA (EGUI_LNC051519)
Source: RNAcentral
GACUUUGAUUAUUUUUAUUUUAGAUUAGGAUUUAUUAAAAUUUGAUGCAAGACUAUGAAAUAUUAUUUUUAUAAUAUAUUUUGAUUUAGUUAUUUAAAUUAAAAUUAAAUAUUAAUUAUUUAAAAUUUAUUUUAUUAUUGCUUUAUGAUAUCAUGAUGAAAAGCUUUGCAUGCUUGUAGAUAGAGUUCUCCAUGCGUAUGUGGUAGUUAUUAUGACCCUUGGAUCACAAUCUC